Molecule: ribosomal RNA, 847 nt
Filed under: uncultured bacterium
Lineage: Bacteria
Description: bacterial SSU rRNA
Rfam family: Bacterial small subunit ribosomal RNA
Source: RNAcentral
UCAGGAAANUCUGGAGUAAAAGGCUAUGGCUCAACCAUAGUGUGCUCUGGAAACUNUCUGACUUGAGUGCAGAAGGGGAGAGUGGAAUUCCAUGUGUAGCGGUGAAAUGCGUAGAUAUAUGGAGGAACACCAGUGGCGAAAGCGGCUCUCUGGUCUGUCACUGACGCUGAGGCUNGAAAGCGUGGGUAGCGAACAGGAUUAGAUACCCUGGUAGUCCACGCCGUAAACGAUGAGUGCUAGGUGUUAGGCCCUUUCCGGGGCUUAGUGCCGGAGCUAACGCAAUAAGCACUCCGCCUGGGGAGUACGACCGCAAGGUUGAAACUCAAAGGAAUUGACGGGGGCCCGCACAAGCGGUGGAGCAUGUGGUUUAAUUCGAAGCAACGCGAAGAACCUUACCAGGUCUUGACAUCCCGAUGCUAUUCUUAGAGAUAGGAAGUUACUUCGGUACAUCGGAGACAGGUGGUGCAUGGUUGUCGUCAGCUCGUGUCGUGAGAUGUUGGGUUAAGUCCCGCAACGAGCGCAACCCUUAUUGUUAGUUGCCAUCAUUAAGUUGGGCACUCUAGCGAGACCGCCGGUAAUAAACCGGAGGAAGGUGGGGAUGACGUCAAAUCAUCAUGCCCCUUAUGACCUGGGCUACACACGUGCUACAAUGGUCGGUACAACGAGUUGCGAGCCGGUGACGGCAAGCUAAUCUCUGAAAGCCGAUCUCAGUUCGGAUUGGAGGCUGCAACUCGCCUCCAUGAAGUCGGAAUCGCUAGUAAUCGCGGAUCAGCACGCCGCGGUGAAUACGUUCCCGGGCCUUGUACACACCGCCCGUCACACCACGAGAGUUUGUAACACCCGAAGU